RNAcentral lists this ribosomal RNA (318 nucleotides) under Distocyclus sp. RNAcentral's name for it is "partial 12S ribosomal RNA". It matches the Rfam family "Bacterial small subunit ribosomal RNA", at positions 868 to 1349 of the family's 1533-position model. The record is from RNAcentral. Lineage: Eukaryota; Metazoa; Chordata; Actinopteri; Gymnotiformes; Sternopygidae.
UUCGCCCGAGUACUACGAGCACCAGCUUAAAACUCAAAGGACUUGGCGGUGCUCCAGACCCCCCUAGAGGAGCCUGUUCUAGAACCGAUAAUCCCCGUUCAACCUCACCACCUCUUGUUUUUACCGCCUAUAUACCGCCGUCGUCAGCUUACCCUGCAAAGGUCAAACAGUAAGCAAAACGGGCAUAGCCCAAAACGUCAGGCCGAGGUGUAGCGUACGAGAUGGGAAGAAAUGGGCUACAUUUUCUACAAUAGAAUAUUUUACAAACGGCGCCCUGAAACUAGGCGCCCGAAGGUGGAUUUAGUAGUAAAAAGCAAA